RNAcentral lists this ribosomal RNA (253 nucleotides) under uncultured bacterium. RNAcentral describes it as "partial 16S ribosomal RNA". It matches the Rfam family "Bacterial small subunit ribosomal RNA", at positions 524 to 776 of the family's 1533-position model. The record is from RNAcentral.
UACGGGGGGGGUAAGCGUUGUUCGGAAUUACUGGGCGUAAAGGGCUCGUAGGCGGCCAACUAAGUCAGACGUGAAAUCCCUCAGCUUAACUGGGGAACUGCGUCUGAUACUGGAUGGCUUGGAUUCGGGAGAGGAAUGCGGAAUUCCAGGUGUAGCGGUGAAAUGCGUAGAUAUCUGGAGGAACACCGGUGGCGAAGGCGGCAUUCUGGACCGAUAUUGACGCUGAGGAGCGAAAGCCGGGGGAGCAAACGGG